CCUACGUGUGGCAGCAGUAGGGAAUCUUUCACAAUGGGCGAAAGCCUGAUGGAGCAACGCCGCGUGCAGGAUGAAGGCCUUCGGGUUGUAAACUGCUUUUAUAAGCGAGAAAUAUGAUGGUAACUUAUGAAUAAGGAUCGGCUAACUACGUGCCAGCAGCCGCGGUAAUACGGAUGGGGCAAGCGUUAUCCGGAUUUACUGGGGGUAAGGGGAGUGUAGACGGCAGGGCAAGUCUGGAGUGAAAUGCCGGGGCCCAACCCCGGAACUGCUCUGGAAACUGUGAAGCUGGGGUGCAGGAGAGGUAAGCGGAAGUCCUGGUGUAGCGGUGAAAUGCGUAGAUAUUAGGAGGAACACCAGUGGCGAAGGCGGCUUACUGGACUGUAACUGACGUUGAGGCUCGAAGGCGUGGGGAGCAAACAGGAUUAGAUACCCGGGUAGUC
RNAcentral lists this ribosomal RNA (440 nucleotides) under uncultured bacterium. Its description in RNAcentral is "partial 16S ribosomal RNA". It matches the Rfam family "Bacterial small subunit ribosomal RNA", at positions 338 to 795 of the family's 1533-position model. The record is from RNAcentral.